CCGGCAUGAUGUUUCUCUGUUUCAUCUCCUCGGUUCGUUUUGCUUCUCGCUUCUCAGUCUCGGCACCGAAUGCUUCAGUGCUGCAGCCUUAAAACACCUUGGGAGAUACUCAUGUCUACUCGUCAAAAUGGCACAGUCAAAUGGUUCAACGAUGAAAAAGGUUUCGGCUUUAUUACGCCGACCGAUGGCAGCGAAGAUCUGUUCGUUCAUUAUCGUUCAAUCGAAAGCACAGGCUUCAAAAGCCUGAGCGAAGGCCAAGCGGUCUCUUUCAUGGCUACCAAAGGCCAGAAAGGGAUGCAGGCUGAUCAGGUUCAAGUCUCCUAAGACGCCUGAUACAAAAAAGCCCCGCUUCGGCGGGGCUUUUU
RNAcentral lists this small RNA (365 nucleotides) under uncultured Stutzerimonas sp. RNAcentral describes it as "cspA thermoregulator". The record is from RNAcentral. Lineage: Bacteria; Pseudomonadati; Pseudomonadota; Gammaproteobacteria; Pseudomonadales; Pseudomonadaceae.